RNAcentral lists this ribosomal RNA (482 nucleotides) under uncultured eukaryote. RNAcentral's name for it is "eukaryotic LSU rRNA". It matches the Rfam family "Eukaryotic large subunit ribosomal RNA", at positions 1165 to 1645 of the family's 3401-position model. The record is from RNAcentral.
GAACCUAACGUUGAGAUAAGGUGCCAAAAUUCACGCUCAUGAGAUACCAUAAAAGGUGUUGGUUAGUAUAAACAGCCGGACUGUGGCCAUGGAAGUCGGCACCAGCUAAGGAGUGUGUAACAACUCACCAGCCGAAUUAACCAGCCCUGAAAAUUGAUGGCGCUAAGCGUGAUACCGAUACUCAACCAUUACAAUAAAUAGAAGUUGUAAUGAGUAAGAGGGCGUGAAUACUGUGUAGAAGGCUUGAACGUGAGUUUUGGCUGGAACAGUAUUUAGUGCAGAUCUUGGUGGUAGUAGCAAAUAUUCAAAUGAGAACUUUGAAGACCGAAGUGGAGAAGGGUUCCAUGAGAACAGCAUUUGUUCAUGGGUUACUCGAUCCUAAGACAUAGGGAAAUUCCUUGUAAUAUAUGUAUUCUUACGAAUGCAUUGUCAAAAGGGAAUGAGGUUGAUAUUCCUCAAGCUGAAUGUGGAGGUUUCGUGGC